GGUCAGACAAGCAGCACUUUUCAAUAAUUGAUGAUGCUGAGUUUCUAAGUAAAACCAAAAAUGACAGAUGAGUUAACAGAAGACAAGAGCAUAAAAGUCUGUCCAGUUUCUUUCCUCUGCAGACUAAAGAGAAAUGAGUGAUUAAAGUCCAAGCUUGGGAACUGUAGCACUAAGGUUACAGCUCAGAUUCCAUUAAAAGAAAAGAAAAGAAAAGAAAAGAAAAGAAAAGAAAAGAAAAGAAAAGAAAAGAAAAGAAAAGAAGAAAGAAAGAAAGAAAGAAAGAAAGAAAGAAAGAAAGAAAGAAAGAAAAGAAGAAAGAAAGAAAGAAAGAAAGAAAGAAAGAAAGAAAGAAAGAAAGAAAGAAAGAAAGAAAGAAAGAAAGAAAGAAAGAAUCUUGCACGGCAAGAGAAAGAGGUGAGAUGGUAAAAUUUUUGUACAGGUGUCUGGAAUCAAUAGACUACUAUAGGGUGAUAUAAAGACUGAUAUUCCAACAAGAUGGAG
Molecule: long non-coding RNA, 501 nt
Filed under: Salvator merianae (Argentine black and white tegu)
Lineage: Eukaryota; Metazoa; Chordata; Lepidosauria; Squamata; Teiidae
Description: lncRNA (ENSSMRG00000000218.1)
Source: RNAcentral